UAACCUACUCUAGCCCGACACAAUUUUCCUACUACCACUAUAAAAAUAAACCUUUCUCCCCUACUAAAUCAUUUUCAUUCUUAGUAUAGGCGAUAGAACAGAACUCGUUGGCGCUAUAGAAAUCUGUACCGCAAGGGAAAGAUGAAAUAAUAAUGAAAACCCAAGUCUAAAACAGCAAAGAUUUACCCUUGUACCUUUUGCAUCAUGGUCCAGCAAGAAACCAACCAAGCAAAGCGAACUUAAGCUUGCCACCCCGAAACCUGAGCGAGCUACUUACAAGCAGCUAAUUUUUGAGCGAACCCGUCUCUGUUGCAAAAGAGUGGGAUGACUUGUUAGUAGCGGUGAAAAGCCAAACGAGCCAGGUGAUAGCUGGUUGCUUGUGAAAUGAAUCUAAGUUCACCCCUGAUUACUUCCCAUAAGUGCACAACCCCAAUCUUUCAUAUAAAUACUCAGGAGUAAUUUAAAGGAGGUACAGCUCCUUUAAAAAAGGAUACAACCUCUCCCAGCGGAUAACCAAUUAAUCCCACUUAACUGUUGGCCUUCAAGCAGCCACCACCAAAGAGUGCGUCAAAGCUCCACUCAAAAAAUAUAUAAUCAACGUGAAUCCCUCAUCACUAACAAGCCAACCUAUAAACAUAGGAGAAUUAAUGCUGAAAUAAGUAACUUGGAUCACUCCUCUCAAGCGCAAACUUACAUUCCAACAUUAUUACCCAAAACACCAUGAUAUCAACACCCUCUCACAAGAUUUUAUAUCCUAAACUCUUGUUAAACCCACUCAGGAGCGCUCAAUUAGAAAGACCUAAACUUGUAGAAGGAACUAGGCAAACCUAAGGCCCGACUGUUUACCAAAAACAUAGCCUUCAGCAUACCAAGUAUUGAAGGUGACGCCUGCCCAGUGACUAUAUGUUCAACGGCCGCGGUAUCCUAACCGUGCAAAGGUAGCGCAAUCAAUUGUCCCAUAAAUCGAGACUUGUAUGAACGGCUAAACGAGGUCUUAACUGUCUCCUACAAAAGGCCAGUGAAAUUGAUCUCCCUGUGCAAAAGCAGGGAUAAAAACAUUAGACGAGAAGACCCUGUGGAACUUAAAAAUCAAAGGCCACCACACAUCUACCCUAAACCUACCAGGCUCUCCAGUUAUACACCCAUUGGCCUUCAUUUUUUGGCUGGGGCGGCCCUGGAGAAAAACAAAACCUCCAGAAAUAAGACUUACAUCUUAACCUAGAGCAACCCCUCAACGUACUAACAGUUACCAGACCCAGUACAACUGAUUAAUGAACCAAGCUACCCCAGGGAUAACAGCGCAAUCUCCUUCAAGAGCCCAUAUCGACAAGGAGGUUUACGACCUCGAUGUUGGAUCAGGACACCCUAAUGGUGCAGCCGCUAUUAAGGGUUCGUUUGUUCAACGAUUAAUAGUCCUACGUGAUCUGAGUUCAGACCGGAGCAAUCCAGGUCGGUUUCUAUCUAUGACAGAUUUUUCCUAGUACGAAAGGACCGGAAAAAUAAGGCCUAUACUACCAGCAUGCCUUCCCCUCAAACAAUGAAUCCAACUCAAUUGUUAAGAGGACUAAACAUAACCAUCCUAAAAAAGGACAG
Molecule: ribosomal RNA, 1593 nt
Filed under: Psilopogon haemacephalus (coppersmith barbet)
Lineage: Eukaryota; Metazoa; Chordata; Aves; Piciformes; Megalaimidae
Description: 16S ribosomal RNA
Rfam family: Bacterial large subunit ribosomal RNA
Source: RNAcentral